UAAACCUUCCAUCGAUCCCGAUAACACAAUCUCACCCCCCUUUCAAUAUCAAACUAUCCACUGCACACAGUGGAGAAAUAAUGCUAAUAUGAGUAAUAAGAGAAAAAAGAUUCUCUCCCUGCACAAGUGUAAUUCGGAGCGGACUAACCACCGAACCUUAACGUCCCCAAACAAAGAGGGAAAUAGAUUACAAGUUAAUUAACUAGAAAAACAUCCAAAACAAACCCGUUAACCCCACACUGGUGUGCUGCAUGGGAAAGACUAAAAGGAGAGGAAGGAACUCGGCAAACACUUAAAGCCUCGCCUGUUUACCAAAAACAUCGCCUCUUGCAAGACCAAUGAAUAAGAGGUCCCGCCUGCCCUGUGACUAUAUGUUUAACGGCCGCGGUAUUUUGACCGUGCGAAGGUAGCGCAAUCACUUGUCUUUUAAAUGGAGACCCGUAUGAAUGGCUCCACGAGGGCUUAGCUGUCUCCCCCUCCCAGUCAAUGAAAUUGAUCUCCCCGUGCAGAAGCGGGGAUAAUAACAUAAGACGAGAAGACCCUAUGGAGCUUAAGGCGCCAGGGCAGCUCACGUUAAACACCCCUAGUUAAAGGAAUGAACCAAGUGAACCCUGCCCCAGUGUUUUUGGUUGGGGCGACCGCGGGGAAAUACAAAACC
RNAcentral lists this ribosomal RNA (658 nucleotides) under Spicara flexuosa (blotched picarel). RNAcentral describes it as "partial 16S ribosomal RNA". It matches the Rfam family "Bacterial large subunit ribosomal RNA", at positions 1215 to 2302 of the family's 2925-position model. The record is from RNAcentral. Lineage: Eukaryota; Metazoa; Chordata; Actinopteri; Spariformes; Centracanthidae.